RNAcentral lists this long non-coding RNA (575 nucleotides) under Pongo abelii (Sumatran orangutan). RNAcentral describes it as "lincRNA". Lineage: Eukaryota; Metazoa; Chordata; Mammalia; Primates; Hominidae. The record is from RNAcentral.
CAGGCUGAGGGUCCGCCUGGAAGAUGCCAAGGCGAUGGGCUUGUUGCCGUCCUGAGUUUGCAGGCCGAGGCUCACGCUGCUCUGCCAACACUCACAUACAGUAUCCGCGUAAGCCAAAGAAACCCCCCGAACUCGGGACAGGCAGCUCCCUGCUGUGGGCCACACACUGGCUCGGAAAGGACCAGUGACUCAGGGGCUUUCAUUAUUUCAGAUCAAAGGCUCAGUGUGGUCAGUGAAGGAGAAAGCCCCUGUGCGGGCACCUGCAGAGGCGCCCACCCUGCCCAGGGGCCUCUGGGGACGCAGCGACUCACUGACCAGUGAGCGCAGAUGGGCGACUGCACCUCUCUGCUUCAGCUCUUCAUGGCCAGAUGGGAGGACAAUCCCCACCUUGCAAGGUGGCAUCAAGGACUGAGAAAGAACCAGCACCAGGCCUGGCCCCAUGAGCGCUGCUGGGUCUGGAUCCAGGCGCCGUCCACCUUCCACCUGGCAGCACUAAUGCUUCCUCCCCGGCUGCACUGGCCCUUAUCUGGGGGUCAGGAACUCACGUGCUGAAUAAAGAGCAACUCUUUUCCAGA